Molecule: non-coding RNA, 382 nt
Organism: Cinara cedri
Lineage: Eukaryota; Metazoa; Arthropoda; Insecta; Hemiptera; Aphididae
Source: the annotation of a GenBank genome assembly
AAAUUAUUUCAAAAAUCUUUUGGAAAAUCAAAAAAAUAAUCUAUCCAAUAACGACUAGAUAAAUUUUCAGAAAAGAUGCUACAUGUCUUGAUAUAUUUGAGGAAGUUUUCUUUUGCAAAAGUUGUUUACAGACAGAAAAAAAGCUGAUACUGGGCGUGUGCUACUGUUGUGGGUAGGAAGUUGAAAAGGUAGGGCAGGUACACGAAGUUAUUUAAUUUAUAUCUGUAUGCAACGAUAAACCAUUAUUAACAAAAAGCGAUUCGGAGCGAAGUACGGUUAUACAAGUUUUGAAAGUCGUAAUAUUUACGAUUUUUGUCAAAAUUUGAUAUUAAACUUAUAUAUAAAAAAAUACUACAUUAAACUUUUUUUUUUCUUUGCCGAC